UUAGCUUAAUGGAAACCAUACCAGAUAAAUUUCAGGUGGUCUUGAGUUCAAUUCUUUGAAGCGUCCUAAUAGUUAAUUAAUACAUAUUUAAGCUUAAACCCGCCAAUCAUGAUACUUAUGUAUGCUCAUGGAUCAUCACCCUUAUAUGUAUUGAAGGUUUGCUCGGUCCAUGUGGAGGGGGCAUUUGUAUGAACCUAAGGUGGAGAGCAAGAAUUACACAUGUUCACUAGUCGGCUCUAAAGGCUGGACACCACCCCGAUAUUUAAAAAAAAAAAAAAAAAAAAAAAAAAAACCUUUGCAUGGUUGAACUGGAUUUGAACCGCUCCCACCUCCUCUUCCCUCUACCUUGUACCUAUAGAUUAAAAAGAAGAAAAAAAAG
RNAcentral lists this long non-coding RNA (379 nucleotides) under Jatropha curcas. RNAcentral's name for it is "long non-coding RNA (JCUR_LNC000464)". Lineage: Eukaryota; Viridiplantae; Streptophyta; Magnoliopsida; Malpighiales; Euphorbiaceae. The record is from RNAcentral.